CGUGCGCACGCGCCGAAUCCCGUAAGGGAACCGGGGAACCACCAACUUGGGGUGAAUCGGGCGUAAUCCACCGGGCAAAACCGGUCGGAUAUACGCGCGUAGGAGACCUUCCUGCUCCGAACCCGUCAGCUAACCCGGUAGGCGAGAAGGAAGGAAAGG
This 159-nucleotide small RNA is filed under the name Streptomyces davaonensis. RNAcentral describes it as "Streptomyces davawensis c-di-AMP sequence". It matches the Rfam family "c-di-AMP riboswitch aptamer (ydaO/yuaA leader)". Rfam says of the family: This family represents a conserved RNA structure found upstream of the ydaO and yuaA genes in Bacillus subtilis and related genes in other bacteria. The ydaO/yuaA element is thought to act as a genetic "off" switch for the ydaO and yuaA genes in its native state. It is believed that the element may be triggered during osmotic shock leading to activation of ydaO, a predicted amino acid transporter gene, and members of the yuaA-yubG operon which code for KtrA and KtrB K+ transporters. RNAcentral also lists the same sequence under 1 other name. The record is from RNAcentral. Lineage: Bacteria; Bacillati; Actinomycetota; Actinomycetes; Kitasatosporales; Streptomycetaceae.